CUCCGAGACGGAUCCCGAGUAGUGCGGGGCACGUGAAACCCCGUAUGAAUCCGGCAGGACCAUCUGCCAAGGCUAAAUACUCUCUGGCGACCGAUAGUGAAGCAGUACCGUGAGGGAAAGGUGAAAAGCACCCCGGAAGGGGAGUGAAAUAGAACCUGAAACCGUGUGCUUACAAGAAGUCAGAGCCCUUUUUAUGGGUGAUGGCGUGCCUUUUGUAGAAUGAACCGGCGAGUUACGCUCCCGUGCAAGGUUAAGGUGAGAAGCCGAAGCCGCAGCGAAAGCGAGUCUGAAUAGGGCGAUUUGAGUACGUGGGCGUAGACCCGAAACCGGGUGAUCUACCCCUGUCCAGGGUGAAGGUGCGGUAACACGCACUGGAGGCCCGAACCCACGCACGUUGAAAAGUGCGGGGAUGAGGUGGGGGUAGCGGAGAAAUUCCAAUCGAACUCGGAGAUAGCUGGUUCUCCCCGAAAUAGCUUUAGGGCUAGCCUCGGAAUGAAGAGUCAUGGAGGUAGAGCACUGAUUGGGUGCGGGGCCCGCAAGGGUUACCAAGCUCAGUCAAACUCCGAAUGCCAUCGACUUACGUCCGGGAGUCAGACAGUGAGUGCUAAGAUCCAUUGUCAAAAGGGAAACAGCCCAGACCAUCAGCUAAGGUCCCCAAGUGUGUGUUAAGUGGGAAAGGAUGUGGAGUUGCACAGACAACCAGGAUGUUGGCUUAGAAGCAGCCACCAUUGAAAGAGUGCGUAAUAGCUCACUGGUCGAGUGACUCUGCGCCGAAAAUGUAACGGGGCUAAACACACCACCGAAGCUAUGGCUUGAUGCUUGCAUCAGGGGUAGGGGAGCGUUGUAUGUACGUUGAAGGUGUACCGUAAGGAGCGCUGGAGAGCAUACAAGUGAGAAUGCCGGUAUGAGUAACGAAAAGAUCUGUGAGAAUCAGAUCCGCCGAAAGCCUAAGGGUUCCUGAGGAAGGUUCGUCCGCUCAGGGUAAGUCGGGACCUAAGGCGAGGCCGAUAGGCGUAGUCGAAGGACAACAGGUGGAAAUUCCUGUACCACCGUAAACCGUUAUGAGCAAUGGGGUGACGCAGCAGGGUAGUGACGCGGAC
This 1100-nucleotide ribosomal RNA is filed under the name Paenibacillus zeirhizosphaerae. RNAcentral describes it as "partial 23S ribosomal RNA". It matches the Rfam family "Bacterial large subunit ribosomal RNA", at positions 394 to 1495 of the family's 2925-position model. The record is from RNAcentral. Lineage: Bacteria; Bacillati; Bacillota; Bacilli; Caryophanales; Paenibacillaceae.